Molecule: ribosomal RNA, 364 nt
Filed under: Clostridioides difficile
Lineage: Bacteria; Bacillati; Bacillota; Clostridia; Peptostreptococcales; Peptostreptococcaceae
Description: partial 23S ribosomal RNA
Rfam family: Bacterial large subunit ribosomal RNA
Source: RNAcentral
GUAAACCCAAGGUUUCCAGGGGAAGGUUCGUCCGCCCUGGGUUAGUCGGGACCUAAGCUGAGGCCGAAAGGCGCACGUGAUGGACAACACGUUGAUAUUCCUGUACUACCGAUAACCGUUUGCGAGAGGGGCCGACACAGUAGGAUCAGCUAAGCACCCUGAAGGUUAUGUGUGCUCAAGCCUUGAGGCAGUCAAAGUAGGCAAAUCCGCUUUGAUAAUGCUGGGCUGUGAUGGGGAGCGAAAUUUAGUAGCGAAGUAGCUGAUUUCACACUGUCAAGAAAAGUCUCUAUCGAGGUUAAAGGUACCCGUACCGCAAACCGACACAGGUGGGUGAGGAGAGUAUCCUAAGGCCAGCGAGAGAACU